Molecule: ribosomal RNA, 1261 nt
Filed under: uncultured Campylobacterota bacterium
Lineage: Bacteria; Pseudomonadati; Campylobacterota
Description: bacterial SSU rRNA
Rfam family: Bacterial small subunit ribosomal RNA
Source: RNAcentral
AAAGGGAAAGCCUUUUUUGUUUCCAGGGGGGUGGGGGGGUAAGCCUUCACAAAGCAAAUGCCCCCUAGUUUGUUGGAGAGGAUUAUCACCCCCCUGGGAAAUGAACCCCGGUCCCAACUUCCUACGGGGAGCCACCAGUGGGGAAUUUUGCCCAAUGGAGGAAAUUUUGAAGCAGCAACGCCGCGUGGGAGGAUGACGCAUUUCGGUGUGUAAACUCCUUUUUAUAUGGGAAGAUAAUGACGGUCCCAUAUGAAUAAGCACCGGCUAACUCCGUGCCAGCAGCCGCGGUAAUACGGAGGGUGCAAGCGUUACUCGGAAUCACUGGGCGUAAAGCGCGCGCAGGCGGCCUGAUAAGUUGGAUGUGAAAGCCUACGGCUCAACCGUAGAACUGCAUCCAAAACUGUCAGGCUAGAGUGUGGGAGAGGAAGAUGGAAUUAGUUGUGUAGGGGUAAAAUCCGUAGAGAUAACUAGGAAUACCAAAAGCGAAGGCAAUCUUCUGGAACACUACUGACGCUGAGGCGCGAAAGCGUGGGGAGCAAACGGGAUUAGAUACCCCGGUAGUCCACGCAGUAAACGAUGAAUGUUAGUCGUCGGGUAGCUAGUCUAUUCGGUGAUGCAGCUAACGCAUUAAACAUUCCGCCUGGGGAGUACGGUCGCAAGAUUAAAACUCAAAGGAAUAGACGGGGACCCGCACAAGUGGUGGAGCAUGUGGUUUAAUUCGAAGAUACGCGAAGAACCUUACCUAGCCUUGACAUAUAUUAGAAUCUUUCAGAGAUGAGAGAGUGCCUUCGGGAGCUUUUAUACAGGUGCUGCACGGCUGUCGUCAGCUCGUGUCGUGAGAUGUUGGGUUAAGUCCCGCAACGAGCGCAACCCUCGUCACUAGUUACUAACGGUUCGGCCGAGGACUCUAGUGAGACUGCCUUCGCAAGGAGGAGGAAGGUGAGGACGACGUCAAGUCAUCAUGGCCCUUACGGCUAGGGCAACACACGUGCUACAAUGGUUGGGACAAUGAGACGCGAUACCGCGAGGUGGAGCAAAUCUAUAAACCCAAUCUCAGUUCGGAUUGUUCUCUGCAACUCGAGAGCAUGAAGCUGGAAUCACUAGUAAUCGUAGAUCAGCUAUGCUACGGUGAAUACGUUCCCGGGUCUUGUACUCACCGCCCGUCACACCAUGGGAGUUGAUUUCACCCGAAGCGGGGAAGCUAAACUGGCUACCCUCCACGGUGGAAUUAGCGACUGGGGUGAAGUCGUAACAAGGUACC